Pipistrellus kuhlii (Kuhl's pipistrelle) is the source of this 944-nucleotide long non-coding RNA. RefSeq lists it as uncharacterized. NCBI's taxonomy places the organism in Eukaryota, Metazoa, Chordata, Mammalia, Chiroptera, Vespertilionidae. The transcript has 2 exons. The record is from RefSeq and is a predicted model, not a curated record.
GGGCCUGGCCUCCGCGUGCCUCCCGGGCUCCAAGCCCCUGAUGCUGCUCCCGUGCUGACCCCGCCCGGCUGGGACAAUGGUGAAGCAUUUCCCGGGCCACAGUGUGUACCGGAAUCCCUAUAGCAAACAUGUCUUGAUGGAAGACAUAUUGCACCGGGAGGUCACCCCUGACCAGAAGCUCCUGUCCCGGAGACUCCUGACCAAAACCAACAGGAUGCCCUGCUGGGCUGAGUGACUAUUUCCUGCCAAUGUUGCUCACUCAGUGUACAUCCUGGAGGAUUCCAUUGUGGACCCACAGAACCAGACCAUGACCACCUUCACCUGGAACAUCAACCACGCCCAGCUGAUGGAAUUUGGUCUCGCCGGUUCAAAAGCAAUGUGACCAAGUCAAUGAAGGGUUUUUAAUACAUCUUGGCCAAGCUGCAAGGUGAGACCCCUUCCAAAACCCUAGUUGAGACAGCCAAGGAAGCCAUGGAGAAGGCAAAGGAGACGACACUGGCAGCUACAGAGAAGGCCAAGGACCUGGCCAAAAAGGCAGCCACCAAGAAGCAGCAGCAGCAGCAGUUUGUGUAGCCAACGCAGACCCUGUAUGGCAGCGUACCACCCCACCAGCUGCACUCCCUCUGUCCUCCCCCUGUAUUUUAUUAUUAAAAGUCAACUUCCAGCCUGAGCUACUCUCUGGGUAGUGGGUUGGAGGUGGGAUCUGUCUGGCAUCUACAAUGCAUCAGACAUGCUAUCCAUGCCUGGGCCAGGCCUGCAUCUUCCUGCAUUGGACGGCUGAGGAGGGAUUUGCCCAGGGUCACAGACAGCAUGCAGGCAAGGUGGUCAUAAACACUACACUGUAAGCUCCACGAGGGCAGGGACCUUUUUGUUCUCUGCUGUGUCCCAAGCAUCUGGAACAAUAUCUAGCUCAUAAUAGACACUCAGUAAAUGUUUGUUGAAUU